Molecule: long non-coding RNA, 633 nt
Organism: Drosophila sechellia
Lineage: Eukaryota; Metazoa; Arthropoda; Insecta; Diptera; Drosophilidae
Exons: 2
Source: RefSeq, a predicted model, not a curated record
GAGAUGGCACUUGCGUUUGAGAGAGCGCGCUCCUCCCCGCCCCUCUCAUAAACACAAGAUGACGCGAGAGAGAUAAAAACGGCCGCCGAUUGGAACUAGUCAGUCAGUUGGCCGAUUGAUCAACUAGGAUUUGCCGUUCAACAUGAUAGUCCAGAUUCGAAGUCAACAACAACUGCCACGCAGACAGAUUUUCUCCGACGCUUUGAAAGACCACGUAGCCGCUAAGCCGCAUGAAUCAGCGGGUGCGAGCGAGAGCGCGCUAGCGGCCGGCGCAUUUCGCAUUUCGAUAUUCGAUUUUUGCCACAUUUUGUUGAGAUUUUCGUGCCUUAUUUUCGAUCUAAGCAUGUACUUACAGAACUCGACCAGCACGAACUCGUUGUCGGCAAUCAGCUGCUUGAAGUUGUCCACAGUCGCCACCAGAACGCCCUCCUCAACUUUGACCUCCGCCUCGGCGGAAGCGGCCACGUAGGACGCCGCCAGGAAAAGUGCACAGAUCAGGAAUUUCAUUGCGGGCACUCGUCGUCGUUUGAUAUUUAAUGAAUCUAUUGCCCUGUGUGGGUGCACACUCGCCAACCAAAACUGGGAUUCGAACUGCGCUGAACUUGCCCGGUUGCAAGUAGAAAUUCAAAUGAA